RNAcentral lists this ribosomal RNA (626 nucleotides) under uncultured bacterium. RNAcentral's name for it is "bacterial SSU rRNA". It matches the Rfam family "Bacterial small subunit ribosomal RNA", at positions 61 to 680 of the family's 1533-position model. The record is from RNAcentral.
GUCGAACGGACCCAUAUUGAAACCUAGUGAUAUAUGGGUUAGUGGCGGACGGGUGAGUAACGCGUGGGUAACCUGCCUUACACAGGGGGAUAACACUUAGAAAUAGGUGCUAAAACCGCAUAAGCGCACAGCUUCGCAUGAAGCGGUGUGAAAAACUCCGGUGGUGUAAGAUGGACCCGCGUCUGAUUAGCUUGUUGGCGGGGUAACGGCCCACCAAGGCGACGAUCAGUAGCCGGCCUGAGAGGGCGGACGGCCACAUUGGGACUGAGACACGGCCCAGACUCCUACGGGAGGCAGCAGUGGGGAAUAUUGCACAAUGGGGGAAACCCUGAUGCAGCGACGCCGCGUGAGUGAAGAAGUAAUUCGUUACGUAAAGCUCUAUCAGCAGGGAAGAAAUACUGACCUUACGGUCAGCAGACGGUACCUGAGUAAGAAGCCCCGGCUAACUACGUGCCAGCAGCCGCGGUAAUACGUAGGGGGCAAGCGUUAUCCGGAUUUACUGGGUGUAAAGGGAGCGUAGACGGUGCGCCAAGUUUGGAGUGAAAUGCCGCAGCUUAACUGCGGAACUGCUUUGGAAACUGGCGAACUAGAGUGCGGGAGGGGUAAGCGGAAUUCCUAGUGUAGCG